RNAcentral lists this microRNA (20 nucleotides) under Ananas comosus (pineapple). Its description in RNAcentral is "microRNA s0583_c75a". Lineage: Eukaryota; Viridiplantae; Streptophyta; Magnoliopsida; Poales; Bromeliaceae. The record is from RNAcentral.
GCUCUCUAUGCUCUGUCAUC